Small nuclear RNA from Suricata suricatta (meerkat), 103 nucleotides. The record is from Ensembl. Lineage: Eukaryota; Metazoa; Chordata; Mammalia; Carnivora; Herpestidae.
GUGCUUGCUUCAGCAGCACAUACACCAAACUGGAAUGAUACAAAGAUUAGCAUGGCCCCUAGACAAGGAUGACAGGUAAAUAUUUGGUAGAAUUCACCUGUGA